AAGUAAAACAGCAAAACCCCACGAGUUUGAGCUCGACGCCUCAACAACUUCGAGUUUGACUUGAACGUGAAAGAGCAUCACUAAGAAAUUUGGUCGAUCAAGCUAGACAGGGGGGCUAUAAGAUAAAAAUAGUGACUUGAAGACAAACCAUCCAUAAGAUUCGCGGUUGUAGUGACUUGAGGGUCAAGUUUGGCCUUUCUCACGAUAGCAUAUAACAUACCCAGAAGUGAGACUCAAUCCCAGAGGCAUGUCCUUUCCGCAGGAGAGUUCGAGAGGCCAUGACUGAGCUGGAUCUUUUUGUAGAGGUGAGGCUGAGUUUGGGUUAAAACGGCUUCAUCAAUGUGCUGAGAAGGAACAAGUUUAUCUAAAUGCAGAGGGCCCAUCAAAAGACUUCAAUGAGUUCUAGACAGCUUGCUGGGCUGACUAGGUUACUAGAAACACAUAUAUUGCUGGAACUGAACAUUGUGGGGAUAUUUGGUAUUAAGGUGUAGGACGUGAUCUGUUUUUUCAAAUAUUAAUCAUCAUUUGAGGGAUAAGCACCUUUUUAAUAUAAGCCCCUGGGAAGAAAGCCUUGAUGGAAUAAGAAAGGGAGAAGCACCUUCAUCAAUCCUAUCUUGCUUGUUAUUCUCCAAUUUCAGCAGUGAUUUACAAUAGAAAUAUGAACUUUUAAAAUUUAAUAACCUGUUUACUUUUGAUGAUAGUGUGACUUGAAACUACUUUGAGAAUUUGGUAUGAGCAUUGGAGAAUGGUUUGUCAAAUGUGGACUCCCAUGGUGCUACAAAUCUAGAGGUGGAAGAGGCAAAGGAACGGCCUCCCAAGCUCCCAGUCAACUGAAUGAUUCAAGUCAUUGGUUUUGUGACCAUUGCACAUAUGUCAAUGUUAAGUUUGCAAACACUUGCCAAAUGUA
Molecule: long non-coding RNA, 907 nt
Organism: Nelumbo nucifera (sacred lotus)
Lineage: Eukaryota; Viridiplantae; Streptophyta; Magnoliopsida; Proteales; Nelumbonaceae
Source: RefSeq, a predicted model, not a curated record